AGCUUUUGGGAAUGAUCAAAAGUUGUACCUGCCCAAUGUGUUAUAUAUUAUGAAUGGCCGCGGUACUUUGACCGUGCUAAGGUAGCGCAAUCAAUUGGCUCUUAAUUGGGGUCAGGAAUGAAUGGAGUUNACGUGGUCCAGCUGUCUCUUAAUUAAUUAGUUGAAGUUACUAUGUAGGUGAAAAAGCCUGCAAGAAGAAAAAGGACGAGAAGACCCUUAGAGUUUUACUUAAUGUAAGAACAAGUUGUGUAUUCUUAUACUGGUUUUGUUGGGGCAACAUAGGAGCAAGAAUAAUUAAUCUCCUCAAUUAAAUUUACCGAUUUUCUUAAAUUUAAAUAAACUACCUUAGGGAUAACAGCAUAAUUUAAAAAUUAAGUUUGUGACCUCGAUGUUGGACUAGGAAACUUGAAGGCUAGCCGUCUUCAAGGAAAGUUCUGUUCGAACUAUUAUUCCU
Molecule: ribosomal RNA, 454 nt
Filed under: Goniobranchus collingwoodi
Lineage: Eukaryota; Metazoa; Mollusca; Gastropoda; Nudibranchia; Chromodorididae
Description: partial 16S ribosomal RNA
Rfam family: Archaeal large subunit ribosomal RNA
Source: RNAcentral